Molecule: ribosomal RNA, 253 nt
Filed under: uncultured bacterium
Lineage: Bacteria
Description: partial 16S ribosomal RNA
Rfam family: Bacterial small subunit ribosomal RNA
Source: RNAcentral
UACGUAGGGUGCAAGCGUUGUCCGGAAUCAUUGGGCGUAAAGAGCGUGUAGGCGGCUCGAUUAGUCCGCUGUAAAAGUCCAGGGCUCAACCCUGGGAUGCCGGUGGAAACUGUCGGGCUAGAGUCCGGGAGAGGCGAGUGGAAUUCCUGGUGUAGCGGUGAAAUGCGCAGAUAUCAGGAGGAACACCAAUGGCGAAGGCAGCUCGCUGGAACGGUACUGACGCUGAGACGCGAAAGCGUGGGGAGCAAUCAGG